Molecule: ribosomal RNA, 301 nt
Filed under: uncultured bacterium
Lineage: Bacteria
Description: partial 16S ribosomal RNA
Rfam family: Bacterial small subunit ribosomal RNA
Source: RNAcentral
CAGCCGCCGCGGUAAUACGAAGGGGGCUAGCGUUGCUCGGAAUCACUGGGCGUAAAGGGUGCGUAGGCGGGUUUUUAAGUCAGAGGUGAAAUCCUGGAGCUCAACUCCAGAACUGCCUUUGAUACUGAAAGUCUUGAGUUCGGGAGAGGUGAGUGGAACUGCGAGUGUAGAGGUGAAAUUCGUAGAUAUUCGCAAGAACACCAGUGGCGAAGGCGGCUCACUGGCCCGAUACUGACGCUCAUGCACGAAAGCGUGGGGAGCAAACAGGAUUAGAUACCCCCGUAGUCCCUGUCUCUUAUAC